UAAUACGGAGGGUGCAAGCGUUAAUCGGAAUUACUGGGCGUAAAGCGCUCGUAGGCGGCUUGUUAAGUCGGAUGUGAAAGCCCCGGGCUCAACCUGGGAACUGCAUUCGAUACUGGCAAGCUAGAGUAUAGUAGAGGCAAGUGGAAUUCCGGGUGUAGCGGUGAAAUGCGUAGAUAUCCGGAGGAACAUCAGUGGCGAAGGCGACUUGCUGGACUAAUACUGACGCUGAGGAGCGAAAGCGUGGGGAGCAAACGGGAUUAGAUACCCCGGUAGUCCACGCCGUAAACGAUGUCAACUAGCCGUUGGGGGGCUUAGUCCCUUUAGUGGCGCAGCUAACGCAUUAAGUCGACCGCCUGGGGAGUACGGUCGCAAGACUA
This 377-nucleotide ribosomal RNA is filed under the name uncultured Gammaproteobacteria bacterium. Its description in RNAcentral is "bacterial SSU rRNA". It matches the Rfam family "Bacterial small subunit ribosomal RNA", at positions 521 to 896 of the family's 1533-position model. The record is from RNAcentral. Lineage: Bacteria; Pseudomonadati; Pseudomonadota; Gammaproteobacteria.